Molecule: non-coding RNA, 204 nt
Filed under: Planctomycetaceae bacterium
Lineage: Bacteria; Pseudomonadati; Planctomycetota; Planctomycetia; Planctomycetales; Planctomycetaceae
Description: 6S RNA
Rfam family: 6S / SsrS RNA
About the family: E. coli 6S RNA was the first non coding RNA to be sequenced, but its function was unknown until recently. It consists of 184 nucleotides that fold into an extended hairpin structure with a large single-stranded internal bulge.
Source: RNAcentral
AAACCUCUGCGGUGCUCGAUACCAGAUUGUUUGUUGUGGACCCUACAAGCAACCCGUAGGGAGCCAGGUGCCUCCCCGGCCGCGUGUAUAUCCGGGUCGUCGCAAUGCGACGUCUGCCGGCUCACACAACCCGGGGCCUUGGAUCCCACCUUUUGAAUACGGGUCUGCAUAACCACAGUCUGAACGGCACAGGGCGGAGGUUUU